This 393-nucleotide ribosomal RNA is filed under the name uncultured bacterium. Its description in RNAcentral is "bacterial SSU rRNA". It matches the Rfam family "Bacterial small subunit ribosomal RNA", at positions 29 to 424 of the family's 1533-position model. The record is from RNAcentral.
AUUAAACGCUGGCGGCAUGCCUUACACAUGCAAGUCGAACGGCAGCACGGGGGCAACCCUGGUGGCGAGUGGCGAACGGGUGAGUAAAGCAUCGGAACGUGCCCUGGAGUGGGGGAUAACGUAGCGAAAGUUACGCUAAUACCGCAUAUUCUGUGAGCAGGAAAGCAGGGGAUCGCAAGACCUUGCGCUCUGGGAGCGGCCGAUGUCGGAUUAGCUAGUUGGUGGGGUAAAGGCCUACCAAGGCGACGAUCCGUAGCGGGUCUGAGAGGAUGAUCCGCCACACUGGGACUGAGACACGGCCCAGACUCCUACGGGAGGCAGCAGUGGGGAAUUUUGGGACAAUGGGCGAAAGCCUGAUCCAGCCAUGCCGCGUGAGUGAAGAAGGCCUCGGUU